UGCUUCUGUGUCUUUCAAAACAAUCUGUUCUGCAGACAAUCAGCAAAUGAAAAACCACUAUGUGCUGAUAUCUGCAGAUCAAAAUGCGAUUAUACAGACAAGACCAGACCAGACCAGACCAUCAGUGUCUAUUUUUCAUAGUUAUGGAAUGACUACUUUUGCUCUGCAAAAAAAGGGAAAAGGAAACAAGCAGGACAAAAUAAGGCAAAGAUUUGCAUGAAAUUUGCAUAUGCUAAUUCAUACAUAUCCCUGCAAAUGUACGAGUAAUGCCUCUAAUUUAAAUAGAACUGUAUUGCAUUUCACUGCAGUGGGGGAAACUGACUAGGCAAUCCGUGUGCUUGCUCAGUCUGCUAUCCAGGUUCAUACAACUCAUGGGCAACUUCAAGGUCCCUGCUCUCCCUUCUAAUGGAAUUUUUACCUUUGAAUCAGACUUUGACUCAACAGCCUUUUAAAUAGAAGAUACCUUGAAACAGAGGACUGUCCUCUGCAAAGUAGGACACAUGAAUCAGCACAUGGUCAAGCUGUGAUAGCCACCAUUUCCCUAACCGUGGGCAAAUCUAGAAUACUACUAAACAUAUUUGGCAGAAGGUCCUUGUUUGUACUGCACCAAUUUUAGGAUGGAGAACACAAUGUCAUAGCCAGCUAUGAAGGAGACUCUUUGGAAAUUUACAAAGGCAGCUGCGUGGACCAUGCCUGUGUGAAUGCUGGGAGAGUAUUCAUAUGUAAUUUGGAAAAGUGUGGACUACAGAUUACAGGGCAGCAGAAGGAUCCCCAUUAAAACAUAUUAAAAGAUCAAGUGAUCUUGAAUAUGUUCCUAGACAAACCUUCCCCAACCAUGUGGCUUUCACAUGUUAAUUGACAGUAACCUCCAUCAGCUCCAGCCAGCAUAGCCAAUGGCCAGGGGUGAUGCAAGUUGUAAUCCAACAACAUCUAGAGGGCACCAGAUUGGAAAAUGCUGUCCUAAAACAAUGAAACAGAAUGCUGUCCU
Molecule: non-coding RNA, 988 nt
Organism: Podarcis lilfordi (Lilford's wall lizard)
Lineage: Eukaryota; Metazoa; Chordata; Lepidosauria; Squamata; Lacertidae
Source: the annotation of a GenBank genome assembly